UGGGGAAUACUGCACAAUGGGCGAAAGCCUGAUGCAGCAACGCCGCGUGAGCGAUGAAGGCCUUCGGGUCGUAAAGCUCUGUCCUCAAGGAAGAUAAUGACGGUACUUGAGGAGGAAGCCCCGGCUAACUACGUGCCAGCAGCCGCGGUAAUACGUAGGGGGCGAGCGUUAUCCGGAAUUAUUGGGCGUAAAGAGUGCGUAGGUGGUUCUUUAAGCGUGAGGUGAAAGGCAAUGGCUUAACUAUUGUAAGCCUUGCGAACUGGAGAACUUGAGUGCAGGAGAGGUAAGUGGAAUUCCUAGUGUAGCGGUGAAAUGAGUAGAUAUUAGGAGGAACACCAGUGGCGAAGGCGACUUACUGGACUGUAACUGACACUGAGGCACGAAAGCGUGGGGAGCAAACA
RNAcentral lists this ribosomal RNA (401 nucleotides) under uncultured prokaryote. RNAcentral describes it as "bacterial SSU rRNA". It matches the Rfam family "Bacterial small subunit ribosomal RNA", at positions 355 to 774 of the family's 1533-position model. The record is from RNAcentral.